Molecule: ribosomal RNA, 571 nt
Filed under: uncultured bacterium
Lineage: Bacteria
Description: bacterial SSU rRNA
Rfam family: Bacterial small subunit ribosomal RNA
Source: RNAcentral
GCAAUAUCAUAGUGGCGCACGGGUGCGUAACACGUAUGCAACCUACCUAUUAUUGGGGGAUAGCCUUUGGAAACGGAGAUUAAUACCGCAUAAUACGAUUGACUGGCAUCGGUUGAUUGUUAAAGCUUCGGCGAUAAUAGAUGGGCAUGCGUCCAAUUAGUUAGUUGGUUAGGUAACGGCUGACCAAGACGAUGAUUGGUAGGGGAUCUGAGAGGAUAAUCCCCCACACUGGCACUGAGAUACGGGCCACACUCCUACGGGAGGCAGCAGUAGGGAAUAUUGGGCAAUGGGCGGAAGCCUGACCCACCCAUGCCGCGUGCAGGAAGAAAGCGUUAUGCGUUGUAAACUGCUUUUUUAUAGGAAGAAGGAUCCCUUGCGAGGGAAGGUGACGGUACUAUAAGAAUAAGCACCGGCUAACUCCGUGCCAGCAGCCGCGGUAAUACGGAGGGUGCAAGCGUUGUCCGGAUUUAUUGGGUUUAAAGGGUGCGUACGCGGUUUAUUAAGUCAGUGGUGAAAGACGGCCGCUCAACGAUUGCAGUGCCAUUGAUACUGGUAGACUUGAGUGAGAUUG